GACGAACGCUGGCGGCGUGCUUAACACAUGCAAGUCGAACGGAAAGGCCCUGCUUGCUGGGUACUCGAGUGGCGAACGGGUGAGUAACACGUGGGUGAGCUGCCCUGCACUUCGGGAUAAGCUUGGGAAACUGGGUCUAAUACCGGAUAGGAAUCAUCAUUAGUGUGGUGGUUGGAAAGUUUUUUCGGUGUAGGAUUAGCUCGCGGCCUAUCAGCUUGUGGGUGGGGUAAUGGCCUACCAAGGCGGCGACGGGAAGCCGGCCUGAGAGUGUGUACGUCCACAUUGGGACUGAGACUCGGCCCAGACUCCUACUGGAGGCAGCAGUAGCGAAUAUUGCACAAUGGGCGUGAGCCUAAUGCAGCUACGCCGCGUGGGGGAGGAAGGCCUUCUGGUUGGAAACGCCUUUCGCUAGGGACGAAGCUUUUUGUGACGGUACCUAGAGAAGAAGCACCGGCUAACUACGUG
RNAcentral lists this ribosomal RNA (465 nucleotides) under uncultured bacterium. Its description in RNAcentral is "partial 16S ribosomal RNA". It matches the Rfam family "Bacterial small subunit ribosomal RNA", at positions 28 to 507 of the family's 1533-position model. The record is from RNAcentral.